CCCUUAGAUGUUCUGGGCUGCACGCGCGCUACACUGAAGCUAUCAACACGUUUUCCCUCCCUGAGAAGGGCGGGUAACCUUUUGAAUCAGCUUCGUGGUAGGGAUCGGGGCUUGCAAUUGUUCCCCGUGAACCAGGAAUUCCUAGUAGACGCGAGUCAUAAGCUCGCAUCGAUUAAGUCCCUGCCCUUUGUACACACCGCCCGUCGCUACUACCGAUUGAACGUUUUAGUGAGGCAUUUGGACCGACGCAUCUCAGUUUAACCGCUGGUUUGUGUUGGAAAGACUUCCAAACUGGAGCGUUGAGAGGAAGUAAAAGUCGUAACA
Molecule: ribosomal RNA, 324 nt
Filed under: uncultured eukaryote
Lineage: Eukaryota
Description: partial 18S ribosomal RNA
Rfam family: Eukaryotic small subunit ribosomal RNA
Source: RNAcentral